CAGAGUUGAAAAACUCCCAAACCCCUUGUGAACAUACCCGUUACCGUUGCUUCGGCGGGCGGCCCCAGGGCGGGGCCACUACCUCUUUACUGAGGUGUCCGCCGGAGGUUCUACAAAUUCGUUAGUAUUAGAGUAGCCUCUCUGAGUUAUAUAUACUAAAUAAGUCA
Molecule: unclassified non-coding RNA, 167 nt
Filed under: uncultured Ascomycota
Lineage: Eukaryota; Fungi; Ascomycota
Description: sequence contains ITS1
Source: RNAcentral